GACGAACGCUGGCGGCGUGCUUAACACAUGCAAGUCGAGCGGAAAGGCCCUUCGGGGUCCUCGAGCGGCGAACGGGUGAGUAACACGUGAGUAACCUGCCCCAGACUUUGGGAUAACCCUCGGAAACGGGGGCUAAUACCGGAUACGACACAGCUUCGCAUGGGGUCUGUGUGGAAAGUUUUUCGGUUUGGGAUGGGCUCGCGGCCUAUCAGCUUGUUGGUGGGGUGAUGGCCUACCAAGGCGACGACGGGUAGCCGGCCUGAGAGGGCGACAGGCCACACUGGGACUGAGACACGGCCCAGACUCCUACGGGAGGCAGCAGUGGGGAAUAUUGCACAAUGGGCGGAAGCCUGAUGCAGCGACGCCGCGUGAGGGAUGACGGCCUUCGGGUUGUAAACCUCUUUCAGCAGGGACGAAGCGUAAGUGACGGUACCUGCAGAAGAAGCGCCGGCCAACUACGUG
Molecule: ribosomal RNA, 462 nt
Filed under: uncultured bacterium
Lineage: Bacteria
Description: partial 16S ribosomal RNA
Rfam family: Bacterial small subunit ribosomal RNA
Source: RNAcentral